RNAcentral lists this ribosomal RNA (301 nucleotides) under uncultured bacterium. Its description in RNAcentral is "partial 16S ribosomal RNA". It matches the Rfam family "Bacterial small subunit ribosomal RNA", at positions 509 to 807 of the family's 1533-position model. The record is from RNAcentral.
CAGUCGCCACGGUAAUACAGAGGGUGCGAGCGUUAAUCGGAUUUACUGGGCGUAAAGCGUGCGUAGGCGGCUUCUUAAGUCGGAUGUGAAUUCCCUGAGCUUAACUUAGGAAUUGCAUUCGAUACUGGGAAGCUAGAGUAUGGGAGAGGAUGGUAGAAUUCCAGGUGUAGCGGUGAAAUGCGUAGAGAUCUGGAGGAAUACCGAUGGCGAAGGCAGCCAUCUGGCCUAAUACUGACGCUGAGGUACGAAAGCAUGGGGAGCAAACAGGAUUAGAUACCCCGGUAGUCCCUGUCUCUUAUAC